CAGCAGUAGCCGCGGUAAUACGGAGGGUGCAAGCGUUAAUCGGAAUUACUGGGCGUAAAGCGCACGCAGGCGGUCUGACAAGUCAGAUGUGAAAUCCCCGGGCUUAACCUGGGAACUGCAUUUGAAACUGUCAGGCUGGAGUCUUGUAGAGGGGGGUGGAAUUCCAGGUGUAGCGGUGAAAUGCGUAGAGAUCUGGAGGAAUACCGGUGGCGAAGGCGGCCCCCUGGACAAAGACUGACGCUCAGGUGCGAAAGCGUGGGGAGCAAACAGGAUUAGAUACCCGCGUAGUCCCUGUCUCUUAUAC
Molecule: ribosomal RNA, 304 nt
Filed under: uncultured bacterium
Lineage: Bacteria
Description: partial 16S ribosomal RNA
Rfam family: Bacterial small subunit ribosomal RNA
Source: RNAcentral